UACAGAGGGUGCAAGCGUUGCUCGGAAUUAUUGGGCGUAAAGGGCAAGUAGGUGGUCUCAUUUGUCUGGGGUGAAAGCCUUGAGCUUAACUCAAGAAGUGCCCCGGAAACGGUGAGACUCGAGUACUGGAGAGGGUCGUGGAAUUCCCGGUGUAGCGGUGAAAUGCGUAGAGAUCGGGAGGAACACCAGAGGCGAAGGCGGCGACCUGGACAGUAACUGACACUCAACUGCGAAAGCGUGGGGAGCAAACAGG
This 253-nucleotide ribosomal RNA is filed under the name Pseudomonadota bacterium. RNAcentral describes it as "partial 16S ribosomal RNA". It matches the Rfam family "Bacterial small subunit ribosomal RNA", at positions 524 to 776 of the family's 1533-position model. The record is from RNAcentral. RNAcentral also lists the same sequence under 1 other name. Lineage: Bacteria; Pseudomonadati; Pseudomonadota.